ACUACUCUCGGUAACGGAUAUCUCGGCUCUCGCAUCGAUGAAGAACAUAACAAAAUGCGAUACCUGGUGUGAAUUGAAGAAUCCCAUGAACCAUCGAGUCUUUGAACACAAGUUGUGCCCGAGGCCACCCGGCUGAGGGCACGCCUGCCUGGGCAUCAUGC
This 161-nucleotide ribosomal RNA is filed under the name Pinanga rivularis. Its description in RNAcentral is "5.8S rRNA". It matches the Rfam family "5.8S ribosomal RNA". Rfam says of the family: 5.8S ribosomal RNA (5.8S rRNA) is a component of the large subunit of the eukaryotic ribosome. It is transcribed by RNA polymerase I as part of the 45S precursor that also contains 18S and 28S rRNA. Lineage: Eukaryota; Viridiplantae; Streptophyta; Magnoliopsida; Arecales; Arecaceae. The record is from RNAcentral.